Molecule: non-coding RNA, 3709 nt
Organism: Sus scrofa (pig)
Lineage: Eukaryota; Metazoa; Chordata; Mammalia; Artiodactyla; Suidae
Source: RefSeq, a predicted model, not a curated record
UUCUGGGAGGAAAAGGCAGAAAGAAUAUUUUUCCAAUUAUUCGUUAUUUUGCAAAGACCUAGUUAGUUGGAAUCAUUAUUGUAAAGGAACCCUCCAUAAACUUGCAUUAAAAACCUAAGUAGGAUAGCUAACAUGAUGACAUGGAAAGGAAUAAGGUGGACUGAUACAUUUUCUAGCUGAAAAGUAUCUGGAGAACCAAAUACUCUUUUUGAUUGCUUCAGCUGUCAGAGAUGACACUAGAGUUUCAUUUUGUUUGGUUUUACAGUUUGAAAAAAUCUUAAACAGAAGUCUGCACAGAAGCUACUUGCCACAACACCCAUUUUAGUUUCAGUCCUAUUCAGUUUGAAUUGUUCCAUUUAGAUAAUUGGUGUUCGAAGGCCCCCUUUGCUAUUUAGGUGUUAAUCUUUAGCGGGAAUACAAGAUAUCAUGUCAAGAUCAUGAUAAAGCAUCAAUAAGGGAUGAGUAUGUUCCUGUUUGGGGAGGAGUCAGGGUAACCACUUUUUCUUUCUUCUUCAUCUUUUCACUUAAUUCCAGGUAUUUAAGUUAAGGAAUCAACCAAAUUUGCAGUUUGCCUGUCAUUUUCUUGUCUCUGCAAAGCAUAAAGACCCACGUUAUUAGCCUUUUUACGAAGUCUUCUCACCUGCCUCAGUCUCCCACCAGAUAAUUCUUUCUUCUAUAAUGAUAUCAGCUUAUAAUUAACUUUGCAAGAAGCUGUAAUAGAAGAAUCAAACUCUGGUUGGCUCUAAGAUGGAGGCUCCAGGUCUCAGGCAGCAGCAGCAACAUUCUAUAAUCAGGAUUUGUCCACAUUCCUUGAGCCCCGCUGCAAAGGAGGAAGAAGAACAUGGAGGGUGGGGCAGGGCUGAUCUCAGAGCAGGCACAAGAUGUGGCCAGUUCACGAAGACCACUGAGAAGAACCGCAGCUUCCUCAUUGUUUCUCUACCUCCCCAGUCUUGCUCAAGAAAAGGACUGAAAUUUAAUAUAUAAUUCUAUUCUCUUUAAGACCUGGACUGAGAAGAGAGAAGGGGUAGUAGACAGCACAAUAGGUUAGUUUAGGGAUAGGUGUGUGGAGGGGAGAAAUCAGGGUGAUUUGCUUGCUGAGAAGACAGAGUGGUUCCUGGAGGCAAAGCCUGCUCACGUGAAAAAAGAAGCCUACUUCUACCAAAGCCUUGGCAAGCAAGUGAUGCUAGCACUUGGAAAAUGAACCACACAUUGAAGGGAAUGGAGCUCAUCGAGUUAACAACCUGACUUGCUUGUUCAGCUGUAGACUGUAAUAGUUAACAUUUAUUGAGCGCAAACGGUGACUUGAGGACUCCUCUAAGCAUCUCACAUAUAUUAAAUGAUGAAUUAAUUAAAUGCUUAUAAUAGUCCUAUGAUCUUGGUGCUAUCAUGUAUACACUUUAAAGUUGAGGAAUCUGUAGCACAAAUGCUUAUACCCCAGAUCAUUCAGGUGGUUUGGGUUCACUUUUAACCACUAAUCCAUGCCACCUUUCUACUGAUUUUCUCUGCACCUUUUUUGAGUACUGAAUUUAUCCUAGGAGAAGUCUAUACCCUACUUCUACCACCACUGUCUAAAUAAAGAUGGAGAAGGACUGAGGUUUUAUACAGCAAAAAGAGAAGGUGCUUUUUCUUAAUUUUGGGGCAGUGGAAUUUUCUGGGUUGAUAACAAAGCUCAGCACUGCCACAAUUUUUCAUUAUUGGGAAAUGUGGUUCAGCUGUCCUGUCCCAGAGUGCCUAGUUAGCAUAGCAGAUCUGUCAGCGUCUGCAUAAGGGGAAAGCUUCCACUCCUCAAGAGCGAUAUUAAGAUCAAUUCUGCUUGGUUCACUCAUGCUCCUGGAAGGUGGGAAUUUUGUCUUCUUUUGUGUGUUCCUCAUGGUACUAAGUCACUGCUCAUUAAAUGCCUGAUGACUUGAACUCAAACCCUGUGGUAGGAGGAUUUGAACAGCCCACUCUCCUGGACUCAGAGAGAAGUUUUUUCACACCUCUUCCAAAGACACUGAUGCCGGAAGCAUGCUUUGGGCCAUAUGUAAGAAGCAGCUAGUGCAAAGAUAGCCUUGCCCGUGUAUUCCCAAAGGCCUUUAAAGGGCAGAGAUGACUGGCUGUGAGUUCCACAUGCUGUUAUACCUUAAGGAAGUCAGACUGAAUUCUAUUUGUAGAGAGACACUCCCUCCUACACAGAGAGUUUGUUUACCAUGAAGAGGUUGGAGAAGCCUGUUAGCGUCCAAUGACAGGAGAACAGAGAAUCACAGAAGAAAUCCAAUAAUUAAACCACUCUGCCUGGCAAGCAACCCAUUGGAAAGUAAUGGCUCUGGAGAAGAAGUUGGUAGGGGCACUUAAUUAUUGCAGUCUUUAAUUCAGUGUGAGUUGCCUGAACACUGAGAGUUUGAUCAGUAUGUGUUAAUCUAGUUAAAAUAGGUACUUUUUCUCAAAAUAAACUGGGUAUACAAUGUAUGCAUCACAAAUCCUGAUUUAUAGCAACUCCAGAGAUAAGGGUUUAGGUAGUGUUGCAUUUAAAACAAACACUUGGCCAUUAUCUGUAAAAAUGUGGUUAUUCUAACUUCAGGAUUGUCUUUCCAAAGUCUUUUCCCUUCGUAUACACAUGUACUCACACAUAUAUCCAAUGAAUGAUGAUGGCAUAUAAUGAAAUAAUACUGCUUUCUCAAAACCACUUACUUUUGAACCCACCCAAAACAAGAGCCAUUUCCACUGAUUACGUGGCAGUUGGACCAGAUGCCUUAUGACUUCUUUUCUAUUGAAGUUGCAUUCUAUAAAUGACAGAUGCUUUAACUUUUAUUUAGCAGGAGAAGCCAUUAAUCUGUCUUCAGACUUUCCCCUACCUCCCACAGAAAAAACAAUUUGCUCUUCAAAAGUUUGUUUGGAAAUGAAACCAAAUUCGGUGUUUCCUCUACAGAUGGUUGACCUCUUUCAGUUGGUGGCUGCAUUACUCAUUUAAACAAUCAUACAGGUCAAUAUGGUGUAAUCUAAAUUAUUUAGUCUCUUAGUGUUUUUCAGACACUACUGACAGUUGGAGAGGCUCCAGCUGCUGGUUGUACCUGGAUUUGAACUCCACCCAAGGAUAACAGAGUUUUAAGUCUGUAUUCCAGAGCCCAUCCAUUGACAGUCUUGCACAUCGGUUCUGAGGGAUUCUAACUUAAGAUUCAAAAUGUCUAUACAUGUGAUGAUUAUUUUCAGAUGAAAAGUUUAAAAUAUGAGUGAUUUUUCAAGGACUCAUUACUACCUGGAUGAUCUUUCUCCUGAAGCCUAACUUUAAAACACCUUUCUUUUUUGUUUGUCCCCCACAGGGAGCAAUUCAAAUCUACCAAAUAGACUAGCAAAAUAUUAUGAUAACCUUUUCCAUCCUAAUUUGUACUGGAGGCUGAGUGUGUACUAGGAUCAACAUUAAUUACUGUAUAACAUUUCAGCAGUGUGGUUCAUGGAAAUGUCAGGGAGUUAGCUACAGGGGACUUGGGGUCUUGGAAACAUCAGGGGGGAAAUAGCUAAAGAACAUGUGCUCCACAGGACAAAAGGGAUUUACAAACACGAAAUUUAGAACUAAGGUGGAAAUAAAACCCAAGACUGAGGUGUUAACACCAAGCAAAUCCAAUAAAAGUUAGGUUUAUCAAGGUAGAGAAAAGGCUCAAUGCAAUACAAUCUGGUGGUCUUUCUACCAUCUUUAAAUAAUUUAAAAAUUACUAAAAUUUAGGUUCCAACA